This 591-nucleotide long non-coding RNA is filed under the name Cricetulus griseus (Chinese hamster). RNAcentral describes it as "lncRNA (ENSCGRG00015038424.1)". The record is from RNAcentral. Lineage: Eukaryota; Metazoa; Chordata; Mammalia; Rodentia; Cricetidae.
CCGGCUCCGCGAGUCCUUCUUUUUUGCACACACACGAAUACAAAGAGCCAUACGACCUUCGGAUCUGCACACCAGAAGAGGUCAUUGGAUCCCAUGGGACUGUAGUUACAGACAGUUGUGAGUGUCAUGUGGUUGCUGGGAAUUGAACUCAGGACCUCUGGAAGAGCAGCCAGUGCUCUUAACUGACUGGAUGUGAAAUUUAUUACUGAACAAGGUUGGUGUCACCUAAAUGGGUUCCUGCAGCAAGGAAUUUAAGGACAUCUUUCUCCUUCAUCUGCAGGACAUCUAGGGCUCCGGACAUUGGUGAAGACUGUGUGACACCAGUGUGCUGUGUGGUUAGGGAGCGCAGGACCCACCAAUAGAAGGCUGAGGAGAAGCAACCAUGGACUGUGUGCAACUUCACCCACUAGUUUACUCCUCCACAGAUCCCACAGCCUGGAGCCCCAGCCCUUCUGACCACCUUCCAUGAGAAAGGAACGUGAAUCUUGAAGCCAGUGCUUGCCUGUUGAAGGCCAGUUCUCUAGAAUACUUGUGAAGCUGUCCAGCGGUGUGCACCCGGUUAUCCGGAACACUUGUGAAGCUGUCCAGCAG